This is a long non-coding RNA of Chenopodium quinoa (quinoa), 984 nucleotides long. RefSeq lists it as uncharacterized. The record is from RefSeq and is a predicted model, not a curated record. The transcript is spliced from 4 exons. NCBI's taxonomy places the organism in Eukaryota, Viridiplantae, Streptophyta, Magnoliopsida, Caryophyllales, Amaranthaceae.
UAAUUAGUUGCAAAAAUAAUUUUAGCGACUGAAUAAGACGAGUAGUCGCAAAUUUUGCAACCGAAUUUGCAGUAGUUGCUAUGCGGUCGUUAAUUAGCAACUGAUUUUUGCAACUACAAUAAUAAUCAGUUGCAAAAAAUAUUUUUGCGACAGAAAAAAACGAGUAGUCGCAAAAUUUGCAACCGAAUUUAUAAUAGUUGCUAUGAGGUUGCUAAUCUGCGACGCUCUUAUAAUAAUUUGCGACUAACACGGUAGUCGCUACUAUUAUUUUUAAUAUUUAUUAAAAAGAAAUAAUAAAAAAACCCUUAGUGUAAUAAAAAAAACCCUUAUUCCUCCAAAACAAAAAAAAAAAAAAAAAACAAGUUAUUGCCACCAAAAUAACAAGAACAUCAGUAUUCACCGUAAAAAACAAGAAUAUCAUACUCUUCCUCAACAAAAAAAAAAAAAAGUUUAGAACCUCAAAGCAAGCCAGCCAUCACCGUCAUCUUCCUCUACUGCUGUUGCACCACCACCACUUCACCUAGGAAACUAUAGCUAAAUUUGCUACACCAUGUAUCAUGAUGAUACCAUCAGCAAGAGUCCUUGUGACGAUCCAGGCAAAGAAAAAGGAUGGAAUUUUACCAACUGCUGCUGAAGUUUAUGAGAGCACUCAUUCUGUUUGUGUGGGCAAUGAUGAAGUUGAAUUAAUGGGUGACAAGUCUCAAAAAGUCAUGGGAGAAUAUAUGGAAAAACUUGAGGAAUAUAAGAACUAAGGAAUUGAGAUAAACCCCGACAAAGUCUAUUUGGAGGUUGUAGGUGGGCAAAAGAAAGGAAAAGUCUACGGUUUAGGGAGUGCUUCACAAAUGUAUUACAAGAGUGAUCCUACUUCUCAAUCUACUGCAUCAUCUUCCACUCCUUCCAUGAUUUCUCAAUUAAGUUCUCAAGUUGACGAACUAAAGAAGAUGGCGGAAGAAAACCAUAACAAGGUAGAAGAAAGCCAAAAAA